GCCUGGCUGGCUCAGUCGGUAGAGCAUGCGACUCUUGAUCUGGGGGUCAUGAGUUCAAGCCCCAUGUUGGGCA
This is a non-coding RNA of Canis lupus familiaris (dog), 73 nucleotides long. Lineage: Eukaryota; Metazoa; Chordata; Mammalia; Carnivora; Canidae. The record is from Rfam.